This 71-nucleotide transfer RNA is filed under the name Crossorhombus azureus (blue flounder). Its description in RNAcentral is "tRNA-Met". It matches the Rfam family "tRNA". From Rfam's summary of the family: Transfer RNA (tRNA) molecules are approximately 80 nucleotides in length. The record is from RNAcentral. Lineage: Eukaryota; Metazoa; Chordata; Actinopteri; Pleuronectiformes; Bothidae.
GGCAAGAUAAGUUAAUGUAAACUUUUGGGCCCAUACCCCAAACAUGCGGGAUAAAUUCCCCGCUCUUGCCA